CCCGCACAACGGCUUCCUGGCGUGCGUGGAUAACCCAACGGAGCA
This 45-nucleotide non-coding RNA is filed under the name Cypionkella psychrotolerans. RNAcentral describes it as "SAM-SAH-Weickhmann-2018 RNA". It matches the Rfam family "SAM/SAH riboswitch aptamer". RNAcentral also lists the same sequence under 1 other name. The record is from RNAcentral. Lineage: Bacteria; Pseudomonadati; Pseudomonadota; Alphaproteobacteria; Rhodobacterales; Paracoccaceae.